This 467-nucleotide long non-coding RNA is filed under the name Mytilus galloprovincialis (Mediterranean mussel). The record is from RNAcentral. Lineage: Eukaryota; Metazoa; Mollusca; Bivalvia; Mytilida; Mytilidae.
UGACAGUUCAAUUUUUUGUUCAGGUAAAUUUAUCAGUGAGUGAUAGAUUUCUCUUGGAAGAAAUGAAAAGGUCCCAUAGAAUAAACUACACAGAGAACAAUAGGUAUUGUAUUUAUUAGAUGGGACAACAUAAGUUACAAAAGUUAAAUCGACAGGUAACUUGCAGGUGAAUCUGUAGAAAAAUAUAAUUGGGUUCCCAAUAAUAUUGAGUGUGGAUGAAAGUUGUGUACAUUUUCAGUAAUUUUGCAGACACCUCAACUUACAUCAGAAAGUUCUGACUCUUGUUCUGAUAAUUAAAAUCUGUUGGUUCUAUUUUUAGAUGUAAACGGCUGUGCCUCUAUAUACAACAAGGUAAAUUGCAAAUGGGACUGCACUCUUCUUGAUUGACUAAAAGUAAUCUCUUAAGAGUGAUGAAAAUAAAAAAAAUAUCUCAAUAAACUUUAAAAUUAAACAAGACUUACCAUAUC